GGUUGUGUAGUGUAGUGGUUAGCACUCGGGAUUUUGAUCUUUCAUCAGAAAUAUUCCCGCGACCCCGGUUCGAUCCCGGGCACGACCU
Molecule: non-coding RNA, 88 nt
Organism: Glonium stellatum
Lineage: Eukaryota; Fungi; Ascomycota; Dothideomycetes; Gloniales; Gloniaceae
Source: the annotation of a GenBank genome assembly